AAACUGGCAAGAAAAUGCCAGCUGCAUGAGGAGCUGAACCAAGGUAACCUUGAAAUAUUUCAGAUGCCACCAUGAUUAGCCACGCCCAGUGGGUCUGCACUGAGCAGGGCAGUGUUUAUCAGCCGAGCCAUCUCUUCUUUCCUCACAAGCCCUGGGAAAGGUACCACAGAACCAGUGCCCCGAAGGACCCGUGUGCCUGUCCACCAGCUGGGCCAGCAAUGGAGACAGCGCUGAUGUGUGGGAGGAAAUUGGAUCAUGAGAACACUGAAGAAAUGUGUACAGCAGAACUCAGCAAGGCAGGACCCUGAGCAAGAAGAACUGCUUACACACCAAGGAGGGAAGUGCCGAGUCCAGAGCGCAGCACUCCCUGGGUUCCUGGAUGCGAAUCCCUCAUGAGAUCAUUACAAGUGGACAGGGAAACAGAGCUCCCAACAGCCGGUGCUUGUCUGGGGAACGAGCCUGUUCCCCAGCCUCACCUUCUGUGUGCUCGCCUGGAGGAGACACCCACUGUGGCAGGGCCACGUGAGCCUGGUUCCAGGGGCGGGCUGUCCUGUUGUCCAUGAAGUGAAGGGGCA
Molecule: long non-coding RNA, 575 nt
Filed under: Fukomys damarensis (Damara mole-rat)
Lineage: Eukaryota; Metazoa; Chordata; Mammalia; Rodentia; Bathyergidae
Description: lncRNA (ENSFDAG00000030175.1)
Source: RNAcentral